GCACAUGAGAGCUUGCCACCUAGA
Molecule: non-coding RNA, 24 nt
Filed under: Arabidopsis thaliana (thale cress)
Lineage: Eukaryota; Viridiplantae; Streptophyta; Magnoliopsida; Brassicales; Brassicaceae
Source: RNAcentral